RNAcentral lists this transfer RNA (74 nucleotides) under Thermoplasmata archaeon. Its description in RNAcentral is "tRNA-Arg". It matches the Rfam family "tRNA". From Rfam's summary of the family: Transfer RNA (tRNA) molecules are approximately 80 nucleotides in length. Their secondary structure includes four short double-helical elements and three loops (D, anti-codon, and T loops). Further hydrogen bonds mediate the characteristic L-shaped molecular structure. tRNAs have two regions of fundamental functional importance: the anti-codon, which is responsible for specific mRNA codon recognition, and the 3' end, to which the tRNAs corresponding amino acid is attached (by aminoacyl-tRNA synthetases). tRNAs cope with the degeneracy of the genetic code in two manners: having more than one tRNA (with a specific anti-codon) for a particular amino acid; and 'wobble' base-pairing, i.e. permitting non-standard base-pairing at the 3rd anti-codon position. Lineage: Archaea; Methanobacteriati; Thermoplasmatota; Thermoplasmata. The record is from RNAcentral.
GGACUCAUAGGGUAGCUAGGAUAUCCUGCGGGCCUUCGAAGCCUGUGACUGGGGUUCGAAUCCCCAUGAGUCCG